UACAGAGGUCUCAAGCGUUGUUCGGAUUCAUUGGGCGUAAAGGGUGUGUAGGUGGCGCGCUAAGUCGGGUGUGAAAUUUCGGAGCUUAACUCCGAAACUGCAUUCGAUACUGGCGUGCUUGAGGACUGGAGAGGAGACUGGAAUUCAUGGUGUAGCAGUGAAAUGCGUAGAGAUUAUGAGGAAGACCAGUGGCGAAGGCGGGUCUCUGGACAGUUCCUGACACUGAGACACGAAGGCCAGGGGAGCAAACGGG
RNAcentral lists this ribosomal RNA (253 nucleotides) under uncultured bacterium. Its description in RNAcentral is "partial 16S ribosomal RNA". It matches the Rfam family "Bacterial small subunit ribosomal RNA", at positions 524 to 776 of the family's 1533-position model. The record is from RNAcentral.